This 85-nucleotide transfer RNA is filed under the name Thauera terpenica. Its description in RNAcentral is "tRNA-Leu". It matches the Rfam family "tRNA". Rfam says of the family: Transfer RNA (tRNA) molecules are approximately 80 nucleotides in length. Their secondary structure includes four short double-helical elements and three loops (D, anti-codon, and T loops). Further hydrogen bonds mediate the characteristic L-shaped molecular structure. tRNAs have two regions of fundamental functional importance: the anti-codon, which is responsible for specific mRNA codon recognition, and the 3' end, to which the tRNAs corresponding amino acid is attached (by aminoacyl-tRNA synthetases). tRNAs cope with the degeneracy of the genetic code in two manners: having more than one tRNA (with a specific anti-codon) for a particular amino acid; and 'wobble' base-pairing, i.e. permitting non-standard base-pairing at the 3rd anti-codon position. The record is from RNAcentral. Lineage: Bacteria; Pseudomonadati; Pseudomonadota; Betaproteobacteria; Rhodocyclales; Zoogloeaceae. RNAcentral also lists the same sequence under 3 other names.
GCCGGGAUGGCGGAAUCGGUAGACGCAGCGGAUUCAAAAUCCGCCGCCGCAAGGCGUGGGGGUUCGAGUCCCCCUCCCGGCACCA